This 253-nucleotide ribosomal RNA is filed under the name uncultured prokaryote. RNAcentral's name for it is "partial 16S ribosomal RNA". It matches the Rfam family "Bacterial small subunit ribosomal RNA", at positions 525 to 777 of the family's 1533-position model. The record is from RNAcentral.
ACGAAGGGUGCAAGCGUUACUCGGAAUUACUGGGCGUAAAGCGUGCGUAGGUGGUUCGUUAAGUCUGAUGUGAAAGCCCCGGGCUCAACCUGGGAAUUGCAUUCGAGACUGAAUAGCUAGGGUACGGUAGAGGGAAGCGGAAUUUCCGGUGUAGCGGUGAAAUGCGUAGAUAUCGGAAGGAACAUCAGUGGCGAAAGCGGCUUCCUGGACCAGUACCGACGUUCAGGCACGAAAGCGUGGGGAGCAAACAGGA